Molecule: non-coding RNA, 23 nt
Filed under: Arabidopsis thaliana (thale cress)
Lineage: Eukaryota; Viridiplantae; Streptophyta; Magnoliopsida; Brassicales; Brassicaceae
Source: RNAcentral
UUCGGCGGAAGCGUCGUUCGGAC